This 295-nucleotide long non-coding RNA is filed under the name Dromaius novaehollandiae (emu). Its description in RNAcentral is "lncRNA (ENSDNVG00000009004.1)". The record is from RNAcentral. Lineage: Eukaryota; Metazoa; Chordata; Aves; Casuariiformes; Dromaiidae.
AAGGACAGAAAGCACUUUUAAGUAACUCUGUAUUGAUGCACCUGGGAAACAAUGUUUAAACAGCUUCCAGCUUUGAUGCCUUUGGGUCCAGUUCAUGUUCCCCAUUGGACUAAACCAAUCAAAUGUGAUUGUAGAGAAGAGAGUAUUUCCUCUACAAAUAUAUGAUAUUCUACUGAAAAAAACAGAACUGGUCAUCCAAGCUUGUAAGAAUAUCAGGAUAAAAAGAUGACUGUCAGAAGAACCUGGGCCUAGAAAAAAAGCUGGAGAUUUUAUUGGAUGACACGAAGUUGAAACC